Molecule: ribosomal RNA, 245 nt
Filed under: uncultured bacterium
Lineage: Bacteria
Description: partial 16S ribosomal RNA
Rfam family: Bacterial small subunit ribosomal RNA
Source: RNAcentral
AGUAACGCGUGGGCAACCUGCCCCACACUGGGGGACAACAGCUGGAAACGGCUGCUAAUACCGCAUAAGCGCACAGCUUCGCAUGAAGCAGUGUGAAAAAUUCCGGUGGUGUGGGAUGGGCCCGCGUCUGAUUAGCUAGUUGGUGAGGUAACGGCUCACCAAGGCGACGAUCAGUAGCCGGCCUGAGAGGGUGGACGGCCACAUUGGGACUGAGACACGGCCCAGACUCCUACGGGAGGCAGCAG